This 274-nucleotide ribosomal RNA is filed under the name uncultured bacterium. RNAcentral's name for it is "partial 16S ribosomal RNA". It matches the Rfam family "Bacterial small subunit ribosomal RNA", at positions 523 to 796 of the family's 1533-position model. The record is from RNAcentral.
AUACGGAGGGUGCAAGCGUUAUUCGGAAUCACUGGGCGUAAAGCGCGCGCAGGCGGUCUUUUAAGUUGGAUGUGAAAGCCUACGGCUCAACCGUAGAACUGCAUCCAAAACUAUUAGACUAGAGUGUGGGAGAGGAAGAUGGAAUUAGUUGUGUAGGGGUAAAAUCCGUAGAGAUAACUAGGAAUACCAAAAGCGAAGGCAAUCUUCUGGAACAGUACUGACGCUGAGGCGCGAAAGCGUGGGGAGCAAACAGGAUUAGAUACCCUAGUAGUCC